GAUGAACGCUGGCGGCGUGCCUAAUACAUGCAAGUCGAGCGAACGGACGAGAAGCUUGCUUCUCUGAUGUUAGCGGCGGACGGGUGAGUAACACGUGGAUAACCUACCUAUAAGACUGGGAUAACUUCGGGAAACCGGAGCUAAUACCGGAUAAUAUUUUGAACCGCAUGGUUCAAAAGUGAAAGACGGUCUUGCUGUCACUUCUAGAUGGAUCCGCGCUGCAUUAGCUAGUUGGUAAGGUAACGGCUUACCAAGGCAACGAUGCAUAGCCGACCUGAGAGGGGGAUCGGCGACACUGGAACGGAGACACGGUCCAGACUCCUACGGGAGGCAGCAGUAGGGAAUCUUCCGCAAUGGGCGAAAGCCUGACGGAGCAACGCCGCGUGAGUGAUGAAGGUCUUCGGAUCGUAAAACUCUGUUAUUAGGGAAGAACAUAUGUGUAAGUAACUGUGCACAUCUUGACGGUACCUAAUCAGAAAGCCACGGCUAACUACGUG
Molecule: ribosomal RNA, 497 nt
Filed under: uncultured bacterium
Lineage: Bacteria
Description: partial 16S ribosomal RNA
Rfam family: Bacterial small subunit ribosomal RNA
Source: RNAcentral